UACCAGCACCCCGAGUGGUCGGGACGUUUAUUGGGCCUAAAGCAUCCGUAGCCGGUUCUACAAGUCUUCCGUUAAAUCCACCUGCUUACGCAGAUGGGCUGCGGAAGAUACUAUGGAGCUAGGAGGCGGGAGAGGCAAGCGGUACUCGAUGGGUAGGGGUAAAAUCCGUUGAUCCAUUGAAGACCACCAGUGGCGAAGGCGGCUUGCCAGAACGCGCUCGACGGUGAGGGAUGAAAGCUGGGGGAGCAAACCGG
This 254-nucleotide ribosomal RNA is filed under the name uncultured bacterium. RNAcentral describes it as "partial 16S ribosomal RNA". It matches the Rfam family "Archaeal small subunit ribosomal RNA", at positions 474 to 727 of the family's 1478-position model. The record is from RNAcentral.